RNAcentral lists this ribosomal RNA (783 nucleotides) under uncultured marine bacterium. Its description in RNAcentral is "bacterial SSU rRNA". It matches the Rfam family "Bacterial small subunit ribosomal RNA", at positions 14 to 794 of the family's 1533-position model. The record is from RNAcentral.
UGAUCCUGGCUCAGAUUGAACGCUGGCGGCAGGCCUAACACAUGCAAGUCGAACGGUAGCAUAUCUUGCUUGCAAGAUGAUGACGAGUGGCGGACGGGUGAGUAAUACUUAGGAACAUGCCUUUGAGAGGGGGAUAACUAUUGGAAACGAUAGCUAAUACCGCAUAACGUCUACGGACCAAAGGGGGCUUCGGCUCUCGCUCAGAGAGUGGCCUAAGCGAGAUUAGCUAGUUGGUGAGGUAAAGGCUCACCAAGGCGACGAUCUCUAGCUGUUCUGAGAGGAAGAUCAGCCACACUGGGACUGAGACACGGCCCAGACUCCUACGGGAGGCAGCAGUGGGGAAUAUUGCACAAUGGGGGGAACCCUGAUGCAGCCAUGCCGCGUGUGUGAAGAAGGCCUUCGGGUUGUAAAGCACUUUCAGUUGUGAGGAAAGGUUAGUAGUUAAUACCUGCUAGCUGUGACGUUAGCAACAGAAGAAGCACCGGCUAACUCCGUGCCAGCAGCCGCGGUAAUACGGAGGGUGCGAGCGUUAAUCGGAAUUACUGGGCGUAAAGCGCACGCAGGUGGUUUGUUAAGCUAGAUGUGAAAGCCCAGGGCUCAACCUUGGAAUAGCAUUUAGAACUGGCAGGCUAGAGUCUUGGAGAGGGGAGUGGAAUUCCAGGUGUAGCGGUGAAAUGCGUAGAGAUCUGGAGGAACAUCAGUGGCGAAGGCGACUCCCUGGCCAAAGACUGACACUCAUGUGCGAAAGUGUGGGUAGCGAACAGGAUUAGAUACCCUGGUAGU